AAAUGACCUACGGUAGCUUUCUAUUGGCCAGCAUAUCAUAUCCAGUUCAUUUUGCUAUAACAGACCUAUCAGAACUUGGUUCCAACAGGUUUUCUAAGUCUCAGGUUUUGAAGGACCAUAUAGUAUUUGUAUUCUACAAAUGAAACUUAAUUCAAAAAACAUUUAAGCCUCGGGUACAUAAAUGGGUUGUCUAUAAGCAUAAUAGUUGCAACCAUGCGUUAGAACUGAAUUUUUUUUUAAUCUAUAAUUUAGGACAAUGUUGUAUUUUUGCUUGUUUUAUUUUUUUUCCCCCUCACAGUAUUAAGAUAAGAAAUAUCUGGCAGCUAUAUUUUAAAAGGGUUUUUUUUAAUCAUAUGUUUAAAUAUACUUUUAAACAAUAUUUACAUUUGAAAUUUCUUGUGAACAAAAGGAAAAAAGAUAUGUUUAAGGUUGGAAAUUCCCACCUAUAUAGAAAGACCUAUUUCUAGAUUAGAUGGUAUAUACCAUAACCUCUAAAGCAAUGUACCCAUCAGAGCUCUCAAAUAACCAAGGAAAUAACUUCCUUUCAAAUGUCACCAUAUGAUGCUCUAAGUAUUUAGAGUUUGUCUAACAGUGAAAAAUUAUCUUCUUAAUAAAGCAAUUAAAAUAUAAAUAUCGUUACAGAAAAAACUACCUAGAUAUUCUUUUUUUUUUUUUUUUUUUAACAAAAGGCGCUGCCUUGGACAUGAUGUUCUGCUACAGGAAAACAUUUCUUAAAAUAUGGAAAUUCUUUCAGCAAAGAAGUUGCUGCUUCAGAUCUGUUCUAGGAGCCAUUGGCAUGAAACUAAGCAUCUCAGAAGUUGAAGGGUGUCACUCUUGGCCCUUAAUUUCCCCAAAUGCAAGACCUGCAGCCAUACUUGGUCUGGUAAAUCAACCACACGGAGAUGGGAAGAACCAGUGAAGAUCCUGGUCAAAGAAUUCUACAGUAAGGCCUUAAGAAAUAACUAUCUGACUUAUUGUACAACUCAGAGGGCAAGAAACUUCCUGUAAACCAUAUGCUGAGCAGCACCUAAGCGCUAUGAUGGAUAACAAAAGAGCCCUCCCUACAUCAUAUAGAAAGUUGAUACCAUCUUUCAAGGUAAUUGCUUAUUUAUUCCUCCAAAAGCCAUGACAUCAAUUUCUAUAAGAUCCCAUCCAGGAAGAGAAGUUCAAGCUCAUCAUCACCUUUCCUAUGUGUCCCUCUAUUCUCAUCAGCAAAUAUGCAUCAUGCCAAUGUCUCUUUUGACUCUUAUGAUCAUAAGAAACAAGAACCUGCUUUAAGUCACACCAUGAAAUAAAAAGGCACCUUAUAAAAAUGAACA
RNAcentral lists this long non-coding RNA (1319 nucleotides) under Felis catus (domestic cat). Its description in RNAcentral is "lncRNA (ENSFCAG00000049606.1)". The record is from RNAcentral. Lineage: Eukaryota; Metazoa; Chordata; Mammalia; Carnivora; Felidae.